Molecule: non-coding RNA, 357 nt
Organism: Arachis ipaensis
Lineage: Eukaryota; Viridiplantae; Streptophyta; Magnoliopsida; Fabales; Fabaceae
Source: RefSeq, a predicted model, not a curated record
CAGCGAAAUACAAAAUCUCACACAGCUAGUUCCAAUUCCAAGCACUUUCAAGUGCCACAAUUAGAAAGAAGUGGAAAAUGGGGGCAUGCAGCAGCCCCUGUGAAUCUUUCGAAGAUGUUUCAUCCUUGGAAUUUUUCUUCUCUGCUGCAGCAGCCUUGCCAUCUAAUAAAAUAUUCACCCGUGUUAAACUAACGCAAUUUAAGAUCCAAGAACCUAAGACAGUUAUUUAACAUUGUAAGUACAAAAGCAAUUGAAUGGUUUAAAGCUUGCUGAUCUUAAAAAUAUGGUUGAAGACUUGAGUAGUAAUGAGGGAGGCCAGCCAUGUUGGAGGUACUUCAAAAAUAUAAUUUCUUGUAU